This 1435-nucleotide ribosomal RNA is filed under the name Etrocorema hochii. RNAcentral describes it as "16S ribosomal RNA". The stretch from base 967 to 1363 matches the Rfam family "Bacterial large subunit ribosomal RNA", at positions 2049 to 2651 of the family's 2925-position model. The record is from RNAcentral. Lineage: Eukaryota; Metazoa; Arthropoda; Insecta; Plecoptera; Perlidae.
AUUAUUUUUUAAUUAAUAAUAAACUGAUAAAGAGAGAAUUAGCUCAAAUGUUUUGUUAAAGGUUAAUAAAUUUAAUAAAAAUAAUUUUAAAUUUUUUGUUGUGUUUUAGUAUAGGUUAUUGAAUGAAUUAGUUAUGUUAUAGUUAUGGAGUACUGAAAAGGAAUUAAUUGAAAUAAGGAGGAAAAUAAUUUAAUUAAUUUAAAGUAAAUUUGAUUUAUUGUACCUUUUGUAUCAGGGUUGAUUAAAAUAAAAAAAUGGAUUUUUUAAGUCCCGAUUUGGAAUGAUUUAUUUUACUUUGUUAGUUAUUGUGGCAUCAGUUAUUAAUAAAAGUUAAAUGGCAGUGAUAUGUUAUUCGUUUUCCAAUAUAUCUGGUUUCUUAAGAAUUAAAUUUAAUUUAGUUAUCUGGGUGAAGUUUGCAUUAAAUAAAGUUGUUUUAGGUUGUAUGGGUUGAAAUUUGUAUUUAGAUAUAAAAAGCACGGGGGAUUAGCUUCAUGCUUAAAUGGUAUAAAAGUUAAAAUUGUGAAUUGAUAGUUGUUGGAAAUUAAUUAGGCUUAGAAGUGGCCUUAUUUGGAAUGGUGUUAUAACUGAUGAACAUAAAAUUUUGAAUUUUGUUUAAAAUUUAACUUGAUUAUUAAGAUGAUAGAUUUAACAUGAAGGUUUUUGUAAAAAUGAUUAAAUUAGUAUAAGUGUUUUAAAUUUAAGAAAUGUGUAGAUAUUAAUGAAUAAAGAUGAGAAAAAGGUUGUAAUAAGGAAUUAGGCAAAUUUAUUUCUCGCCUGUUUAUCAAAAACAUGUCUUUUUGUUAUAUAAAUUUAAAGUCUAACCUGCCCACUGAAUUUAAUUUAAAGGGCCGCGGUAAUUUGACUGUGCAAAGGUAGCAUAAUAAUUAGUCUUUUAAUUGGAGGCUAGAAUGAAUGGUUGGACGAGGGAAUAACUGUCUUAUUAUAAUUGAAAUUAGAAUUUAACUUUUAAGUGAAAAGGCUUAAAUAAUUUUGGAGGACGAGAAGACCCUAUAGAUCUUUAUAUUAGAAAUUUUAAAUUGAUUUAGUUGAUGUUUAGAUUUAAUAUGAACAAUAUUUAAUUGGGGUGAUGGAAAGAUAUAAUAAACUCUUUUUGAUUAAGGACAUAAUUUUAUGAUUAGUUUGAUCCAUUAAGUAUUAAUGAUUAAAAGACUAAGUUACCUUAGGGAUAACAGCGUAAUUUUUUUUUAGAGUUCUUAUUAACAAGAAAGAUUGCGACCUCGAUGUUGGAUUAAGAUUAAUACUGGGUGCAGAAGCUUGGGAUUAUGGUCUGUUCGACCAUUAGAUUCUUACAUGAUCUGAGUUCAGACCGGCGUGAGCCAGGUCGGUUUCUAUCCCCAAAAAAUUAUAAGUGCUUUAGUACGAAAGGACCAAGUAUAGCAAAUAUUUUGUAAAGUGUAAGGAUUUGAUUAAUAUG